UGGAAAUUCUUUUUUGAUUUUUAUAAUGUUUUGUUAUAUUAUUAAAAAAUUUUCUAGGGUAGAAUAUUAUAUAUUUUGAAGAACUAAAGGUAAGUUUAGGAAUUACUCCAGAGUUAACAGAAAAUCAUACUUAAUCUAGUUCUUAUAGUAGAGUAAGUUUUACAUCGAUGUUGUAUUUAAGUAUAUUAAGGAGGAGAAGAUUUAAUUUUUAAGACUGUUCUUCUUUUAAUUAAUUUAACGUGAUAU
This 246-nucleotide ribosomal RNA is filed under the name Angiostrongylus cantonensis (rat lungworm). RNAcentral's name for it is "partial large subunit ribosomal RNA". The record is from RNAcentral. Lineage: Eukaryota; Metazoa; Nematoda; Chromadorea; Rhabditida; Metastrongylidae.